This 72-nucleotide transfer RNA is filed under the name Podarcis lilfordi (Lilford's wall lizard). RNAcentral describes it as "tRNA.Ile". Lineage: Eukaryota; Metazoa; Chordata; Lepidosauria; Squamata; Lacertidae. The record is from RNAcentral.
GAUAUAGCUCAGUUGGUUACAGCUUGGUGCUGAUAACGCUAAGUUUUGCAGGUUCAAUCCCCAUAUGGGACA